Molecule: long non-coding RNA, 486 nt
Filed under: Setaria viridis
Lineage: Eukaryota; Viridiplantae; Streptophyta; Magnoliopsida; Poales; Poaceae
Description: long non-coding RNA (SVIR_LNC003453)
Source: RNAcentral
GCAUGAUGUAUGUAUAUCCAAACAUAUGAAUAAUCUAGAUGCAUAGAAAUCAGAGUUGAAAGGAACAUUGGUGCUAAAGAAUCUUUUGACAGAGACGUUUCAAUGAUUGCUAAUGAAAUGUACUGAAGGGAUUAAAAAGGAAGAGUUAAAAAGAAAAUGCGCUAUUAUAGUUACAGCAGAGCGUGAUGAUAUGGGAUUCAAUCAUUUAAAUGAGAGUAAAAUACACGAGCAUCAUCUUUUUUUGAACCAGGUACACGAGCAUCAUCGAGUGUGUCGUAUAUAUACCCUUGAAUCGGUUAGAUUUAGAACCCCAAAUUUUCAAAGUGGUUAACCCAAGAUCCAAACAAUGCCCAUUCACUGUUGAUAUGCCUACUUGGUAUCUAUGUCACCCAACUUUAUAACGGUAUUGCCCUACAUGAAAAACCAACGAGAAAAAUCUUAUAUCAUGACCCAAAUGUUCUCUUAAACAUCCUCCACAUCUCUCCC